Molecule: ribosomal RNA, 215 nt
Filed under: Campeiostachys nutans
Lineage: Eukaryota; Viridiplantae; Streptophyta; Magnoliopsida; Poales; Poaceae
Description: Elymus nutans partial small subunit ribosomal RNA
Rfam family: Eukaryotic small subunit ribosomal RNA (bases 39-215)
Source: RNAcentral
GGGUUAGUAGGUUGGUCAUGCCUAGGUACGUACUGGUCUCACUGAUUCCUCCUUCCUGAUGAGCUGUAAUGCCAUUAAUUUGGUGUUGCGGGGAAUUUGGACUGUUACUUUGAAAAAAUUAGAGUGUUUAAAGCAAGCUAACGCUUGAAUACAUUAGCAUGGAAUAAUGAAAUAGGACGUUCGAUCCUAUUUUGUUGGUUUUUAGGAUCAACGUA